GGACAGCUUCCCCACAGUGGGCCCACUGCCCCUUCCCUCAGCACCCAGCUCAGGCGUCCGUCCUCCAGGAAGCCAUGACACCGUGACAGGCCAGCCUCACAACGCCAGCAGAGGGUUUGAAGAAACGGAGCCUCGGACCGGGGCCACUGGCUCAGGUCUGCCUUGGGGGAGAAGGUGCCGAUCACAGGCCGAGAGUGGUUCUCAUGGUGUCCCAGAACUGCUCAGUACAGACACACGCAUCAGCCUGAAGGUUCACACAGGGUUGGCGUGCGUGAAGGAUACAAAAUUCCCGGGAAAAGCCUACAGCUGGAGUGAAGUGUGCCACGUUCCUGCUACUUCUCCAGCUGUGCUGGGGGACAUCAGGCUGAGGACCAGCGGUGUGGGCAUCCUGCUCCACAGGCUGGGUUCCCAUGCCGGCCUCCGGUGCAGGACCUGUCAUCUCCCUCAGCGUCCGUUUCCUCAUCUGUACGAUGGAGCCCGUGAAGCUAGCCUGCACUGUUGGCAGAGCUGGAGAAUGUGGACGCCUGACUCCCAGCACAGUGCCGGUGGCCGUGGGAAUGGUGACGCCGACGCAGCAACGCGGGCACUGGACACUCUCGGAGGACCACUUGCCAGGCGGCUGAGCGGGUCAGGCCAGGCAUCAUGGGCAGAACAGGGGCCACAUACUCCCUGUGCUUAAAGGUCACGGUCAAGACACACCUCUUCCACGAAGCCCUCCUGAGUUCUCCCAGCCCUCACUGUGGGUCCUCCUUCAGGCUUCUAGCCCCAUGUCAUCUCUUCCACCCUCUUCAGCUCCGAAGUAUUGCAGAGGGUAUUUGUUGUUGGGGUGGGGAGGGGACCGCCCAGCAUAUUUACCCCCCUCCCUAUUUGUGAGUAAGGCCCCUUCAUGUGAGUAUUGGCAGGAGAUAAGCCACCUACUGGGGAAGCUGAACGGGCAGAUGUUCCCUCACCCAGUACCUGAGCAAAGGGACCCAGGCUUGGCCAAAGGGACCCUCCCAUCCAGGACUCAGAAUCUCAAGUGGUGACGUCACGCACAGGAAGAGUCGGACUCCCUUCGCCAUGGCAGCGUGCGCCAGCGGCAGCAGCAGUCCAGGGCCCAGCCCCCGGGGUGGACUCUGCCCAGAGGACUGGUGGCCUUUCUCGGCUCCGGACCACUUCCUGAGCCUUGUUCCCCACCUUCCUGUUGAUUCUGAGUUUCUGGGCAGCCGGAGUUGAGUUUCUGUUGUUUGCCCUCAACACUCACAUUUGUCUUUGCUGAUACCAACUGGUCCAGGUGAGCAAAUAAUCUUCCCCAGCUGGCCUACACCCACGGGGGAGAGAAAUGCUGCCUUGCACGCUGGCCUGUCUCCCGCCAGAUGCCUCGUCAUCCCGUGUGGGGGAUGCUCUGAUUGUCACGCAGACCUGGGACAGGAUCCAGCUUCUGCCACUUGCGGAAUCUGGGGCUCCGAGGAGUUGUUCAGUCACCACGAGCCUUGGUCUUCUCAUCCGUAAACGGCCAUAAAGACGCCUACUUCCUAGGGCCCGGGGGUCGGCUUGAGUAUCAUGACGGAGGCGGAGAAUGGGACUUAGGCUGCUCACGAACCAGCUCCUCCAGCUGGGACUGGUCUGGGAAUGGGGACAGGAGACGGGACAGGGUGAGGCUCUGGGAUGGGGGUGGGAGCCGAACUCUGAGAGCCGUGGUGGGCAGAGGCAGGGCACCUGCUAAUUAAUUCGGUUUUUCUCUUUGUUAGAUUUUCACUUUACCAUCUUUGUUACUUAAGCAUUAUUUCUUGGUUGAAAUUCCCAAAGGUUUAUAUUUCCUUUCCCCCAAAUAAAACGUGAG
This 1822-nucleotide long non-coding RNA is filed under the name Equus caballus (horse). RNAcentral's name for it is "lncRNA (ENSECAG00000038782.2)". The record is from RNAcentral. Lineage: Eukaryota; Metazoa; Chordata; Mammalia; Perissodactyla; Equidae.